GAUGAACGCUGGCGGCGUGCCUAAUACAUGCAAGUCGAGCGAACAGACGAGGAGCUUGCUCCUAUGACGUUAGCGGCGGACGGGUGAGUAACACGUGGAUAACCUACCUAUAAGACUGGGAUAACUUCGGGAAACCGGAGCUAAUACCGGAUAACAUGUUGAACCGCAUGGUUCAACAGUGAAAGACGGUCUUGCUGUCACUUAUAGAUGGAUCCGCGCCGCAUUAGCUAGUUGGUAAGGUAACGGCUUACCAAGGCAACGAUGCGUAGCCGACCUGAGAGGGUGAUCGGCCACACUGGAACUGAGACACGGUCCAGACUCCUACGGGAGGCAGCAGUAGGGAAUCUUCCGCAAUGGGCGAAAGCCUGACGGAGCAACGCCGCGUGAGUGAAGAAGGUCUUCGGAUCGUAAAACUCUGUUAUUAGGGAAGAACAAAUGUGUAAGUAACUAUGCACGUCUUGACGGUACCUAAUCAGAAAGCCACGGCUAACUACGUG
This 497-nucleotide ribosomal RNA is filed under the name uncultured bacterium. RNAcentral describes it as "partial 16S ribosomal RNA". It matches the Rfam family "Bacterial small subunit ribosomal RNA", at positions 28 to 507 of the family's 1533-position model. The record is from RNAcentral.